RNAcentral lists this ribosomal RNA (465 nucleotides) under Vreelandella stevensii. RNAcentral describes it as "partial 16S ribosomal RNA". It matches the Rfam family "Bacterial small subunit ribosomal RNA", at positions 338 to 795 of the family's 1533-position model. Lineage: Bacteria; Pseudomonadati; Pseudomonadota; Gammaproteobacteria; Oceanospirillales; Halomonadaceae. The record is from RNAcentral.
CCUACGGAGGGCAGCAGUGGGGAAUAUUGGACAAUGGGGGCAACCCUGAUCCAGCCAUGCCGCGUGUGUGAAGAAGGCCCUCGGGUUGUAAAGCACUUUCAGUGAGGAAGAACGCCUGGUGGUUAAUACCCAUCAGGAAAGACAUCACUCACAGAAGAAGCACCGGCUAACUCCGUGCCAGCAGCCGCGGUAAUACGGAGGGUGCGAGCGUUAAUCGGAAUUACUGGGCGUAAAGCGCGCGUAGGUGGCUUGAUAAGCCGGUUGUGAAAGCCCCGGGCUCAACCUGGGAACGGCAUCCGGAACUGUCAAGCUAGAGUGCAGGAGAGGAAGGUAGAAUUCCCGGUGUAGCGGUGAAAUGCGUAGAGAUCGGGAGGAAUACCAGUGGCGAAGGCGGCCUUCUGGACUGACACUGACACUGAGGUGCGAAAGCGUGGGUAGCAAACAGGAUUAGAUACCCUGGUAGUC